Mastomys coucha (southern multimammate mouse) is the source of this 591-nucleotide long non-coding RNA. RefSeq lists it as uncharacterized. The transcript is spliced from 2 exons. NCBI's taxonomy places the organism in Eukaryota, Metazoa, Chordata, Mammalia, Rodentia, Muridae. The record is from RefSeq and is a predicted model, not a curated record.
ACGCAACACCUUUCUGGACUGUGCUAUCUUCAGCAGGUGAAUGAACACAGAGCGGUGAGAAGGCAUUGGGAGCAAAGCUUUCCUGAGGAAACUGUCAACUACAGCCAAAGCUAUGGCAUCCAGGAGACCGGUUUCACAAUGUGGCAUGUAUUAAAGACAUCAAGUUGGCAUCGCUUGGACUUAGGAUAAGCUGUAGCAUGUGACAAGAAAGAAUAAGGAAGCGGCGAGGAAGAUAUGAAGACAAAGGCAGAGACGGGCUGGUUCCACUACAACCCAGGAUUGGCAAGGGUUGCUGACGGAUGUGUGAAGCUAGGAGGGAGAGAUGGGAUGGAUUCGACUCCAAAGCGAGCCCGACUGCUCGACACCUGCACGGACAGAAUGCAUUUCUAAGUCAAGCUACAAGGGUUCUGCCCAACAGAGGGGAACAACCGCUGGGCUCUUUCUUGCUCUUUUUGCCUUCCCUGUAGCUCGGCACUGAGUACUGACACAUAUUCUCCUUCACAGCGGCCUUCUCACCCACCCUGUCUGCUUUGUAAUGUCAUAUCCUGCCAUCAUCUCAAACUUAAAAAAGAAAAGACCCCUGUCACUCAA